RNAcentral lists this ribosomal RNA (468 nucleotides) under uncultured bacterium. RNAcentral describes it as "partial 16S ribosomal RNA". It matches the Rfam family "Bacterial small subunit ribosomal RNA", at positions 28 to 507 of the family's 1533-position model. The record is from RNAcentral.
GACGAACGCUGGCGGCGUGCUUAACACAUGCAAGUCGAACGGAAAGGCCCUGCGUUUGUGGUGUGCUCGAGUGGCGAACGGGGGAGUAACACGUGAGUAACCUGCCCUUGACUUUGGGAUAACUUCAGGAAACUGGGGCUAAUACCGGAUAGGAGCUCCUGCUGCAUGGUGGGGGUUGGAAAGUUUCGGCGGUUGGGGAUGGACUCGCGGCUUAUCAGCUUGUUGGUUGGGUAGUGGCUUACCAAGGCUGUGACGGGUAGCCGGCCUGAGAGGGUGACCGGCCACAAUAGGACUGAGAGACGGACCAGACUCCUACGGGAGGCAGCAGUGGGGAAUAUUGCACAAUGGGCCGAAGCCUGAUGCAGCAACGCCGCGUGCGGGAUGACGGCCUUCGGGUUGUGAACCGCUGUCGCCUGUGACGAAGCGUGAGUGACGGUAAUGGGUAAAGAAGCACCGGCUAACUACGUG